UGUGUUUUUUUUUCUGUGGAC
RNAcentral lists this non-coding RNA (21 nucleotides) under Caenorhabditis elegans. The record is from RNAcentral. Lineage: Eukaryota; Metazoa; Nematoda; Chromadorea; Rhabditida; Rhabditidae.